AGGGGUUUUUAGUCAUUUAGUCUAAGAUAAGUGCCAAGUGUUACUGGGUUGUAUUACCCGCCCCUCCCUCCGGUAGGCGUGGCUUUUAGAUUAUGACGUGAGGCCAUCCAUAGGUGCGCUCUGCGCUGUUUGUCUGCAGCUUGAUUGGAUGGUUCAGGCAUUUUGCUCCGCAAUAUUUGCAUCAAGAAAAUGUGGACUUCCCCUAAAAUUGAAGAGCAGAGGAGAACAUUUCCUGAUUAAACCGAAAGCAGGUGUGACACUGCGUACAGCUGUGAACAGAUAUCACUGUCCGUUUCCAGGAACAACCUAAAAGAAAAGCAAUGGAAUCUUUUCCAGACUGCUGUCCACAUCUUAGUAUGCCUGUAGAGACAGAUGAAUCUAUGACAUCAUCAUCUCUCAAUCUGGCUUGGCCUGCAUGCCAGCAGUGUGAAUCACAGAACCUUACGGAGGCUGGCAGAAGUGGAGUGCCUCGUCCAGAGAUGUGUGUUCAUGAUGCAAGUAGAGUGCAUUACCUAGAUCGUGGCUAUGGGCUUCAACCUGAAGAUUUAAGGGUCAGUACGUUCAGAAAACAGUCCAUAAGUGAUUCACAUCCACCAGAAAGUCCUGCAGGCCUGCCCAGUUUCUACUUGCCUCAAAGUCCAAGACAGCACCUUCAGAUAGACCGUAGAUCCCAUAUAGAAGACCUGAGUGAACAUUUUUCAAGAGUCAACCUUCACCGUCACUGCAAUUCCACUGUGUUGUAUUCACACACCCAAAAGUCUGUGACUGAGGAUGAGGAAAGUAUUGAAAAGCCGCGUCCUCUCCGUACUGACCAGGGGGACGAUUUCUGCAGGUUUCCUUCAUCAAAAAAGGCCGGAUUUUACGGUGAGUGCCCACCAGAACGGGUUUUAUAUCACUGGCAUGGACAAUCUGCACAUUACCCACAGCCCAACUAUCCGCUGCAUCAGCCCCUACCUGGGUAUUAUGUUCAGAAUAGGCACAUAUCUAGAGAACCAGCCAUUGCGAACCCCCCUCAAGGUACAUCCGGUCAGAGCACAGCACCUAUGAGAGAGCUCAUGUCAGAAGUUUGUGUCCAGCCAUCCCAAGCAUCUGCUGUUGGCCACCCUCAAACACUAAGGCGUAACAUCAGUCUUCCUGACAUCUGCAGAGACCUAUUCAUUACAUACUCUAUGGACAUUGCAACAGAGCUGAUGCCCUUCGUGAGCUUUUUGAUCAAUCAAGGAUUCAGACCAGCUGUAAGACUUCCUACCUUUUGCUGAUUUCAAAUGUCAAUUUAGUAAACAUUCACAAAUUGUCACAUGUAUACUAAAUAAAUUAAACAAUAUAUCUUCCUGUUUUUUUUUCUUUGUUUUUAGAUCGAUAUAUUUGAAGACCGAGUUAGACAAAUGGACAUCAACAAAUGGAUGGACAGUUUCUUAAAAAAUGUAUUUAUUUAUGUAUUCAUUCAUUCAUUUUCUUUUCAGCUUAACCCCUUUAUUUAUUACACGUCGCCACAGAGGAGUAAACUACUUACUAUUCUGGCAUAUGAAUCAAUUAAUUGAUUAACAAAUUAAUUAAUUAACUGAAUGAUUGAGUUAAGGUUGAACUUAGGAUCUAGGACAGGGGUGUCAAACUCAAUUCCUGGAGGGCCGAAGCCCUGCACAGUUUAGUUCCAACCCUGCUCCAACACACUUAAGGCUGAUUUAUACUUCUGCGUCAAACACCGGCGUAUGCUACGGCGCUGACGCAUAGCCCUUCGCCGUGGCCAUCGCCGUCGCUGACCUGCACCUCUCAAAAAAUACAUACAUACAUACAUACAUACAUACAUACAUACAUACAUAUAUAUAUAUUAAGGGUGUCACGAUCCUCCAAAUCCUCGAUUCGAUUACAUUUUCGAUUCUAAAGGCUCGAUUCGAUUUUAAUUUCGAUUAUGAAUAAUUAAUUAAUUAAUGACCAAUUAAUUAUUUGUAGCCUACCGUUUAAACUACCUGACCUGCAUGGUCUUUGUUUUACCCAUAAACGAAUCAUACAGUAAAUGAAUAAAGGCAAGAUACACACAUAAUUACCACCUGUCAAUCACUUUUUCUGCGGGACUCGUGAAUAGGCAGUGAUCUGUGUCGUUAUAAUGGCGUCGGUAAAAAAGACGCACAACCAACAGGAACCAGCCAACAGUAUCUGAGGUGUUCGCUAAAAUGACUAAGUACAAGUGAGUGAAAGAUUGAAGCAGUCCUCUGACUGCCUGGACCUGCUGUCUCGAGCGCAUGGCUGUGUGUGCGUCUGUGUCUGUGUGGUCACGUGAUGUGCAUUUUCAGAGGUAGAGAGGAAGGAGGGCUGCUCAGAAAUGCUACACGCCACUGUGGAUGUCAAAUCGCUGUCGUUCUAAAAUGCCGUUUAAAAACAAAGACAGUGUAAACAGGGCCUGAGUGUGAACUUUUCGCGAGCGGAUUUGCAACGGGGGCGGGCGGAGGAUCGCGAUGCUGGUGUUGUCUAUCGGACGAACCGUACGUAAUACGUACAUAGCAGAGCUUGCAAAACUGUGUUUUUUUGUCGACAACACGAACGUUGUCAACAUAACUCACUGGAAAUCCAAAAUGCUUCCACACCGGCGACUUCAUUGAAAGAGGAGAGGGUUUAAGCUCUGUCGACGGGUCUCCUGCAUCUGCAGUUUAACAAGCACUUCAACAAGCCUGUUUUUUUCCCGCUUGGAAAGCCAAGCUGAUGUGACAUGGGGGCGUGGCAGCAUCGACGAUUCUAUUUUUUUAUUCGAUAAUCGAAAUUGAGCAUAAAUUUCGAUCGAUUUCGAUUAAAAAUCGAAAUCAUGACAGCCC
RNAcentral lists this long non-coding RNA (2807 nucleotides) under Danio rerio (zebrafish). RNAcentral's name for it is "lncRNA (ENSDARG00000117335.1)". Lineage: Eukaryota; Metazoa; Chordata; Actinopteri; Cypriniformes; Danionidae. The record is from RNAcentral.